GACGAACGCUGGCGGCGUGCUUAACACAUGCAAGUCGAACGGAAAGGCCCUGCUUUUGUGGGGUGCUCGAGUGGCGAACGGGUGAGUAACACGUGAGUAACCUGCCCUUGACUUUGGGAUAACUUCAGGAAACUGGGGCUAAUACCGGAUAGGAGCUCCUGCUGCAUGGUGGGGGUUGGAAAGUUUCGGCGGUUGGGGAUGGACUCGCGGCUUAUCAGCUUGUUGGUGGGGUAGUGGCUUACCAAGGCUUUGACGGGUAGCCGGCCUGAGAGGGUGACCGGCCACAUUGGGACUGAGAUACGGCCCAGACUCCUACGGGAGGAAGCAGUGGGGAAUAUUGCACAAUGGGCGGAAGCCUGAUGCAGCAACGCCGUGUGCGGGAUGACGGCCUUCGGGUUGUAAACCGCUUUCGCCUGUGACGAAGCGUGAGUGACGGUAAUGGGUAAAGAAGCACCGGCUAACUACGU
This 467-nucleotide ribosomal RNA is filed under the name uncultured bacterium. RNAcentral's name for it is "partial 16S ribosomal RNA". It matches the Rfam family "Bacterial small subunit ribosomal RNA", at positions 28 to 506 of the family's 1533-position model. The record is from RNAcentral.